RNAcentral lists this transfer RNA (72 nucleotides) under Ictidomys tridecemlineatus (thirteen-lined ground squirrel). RNAcentral's name for it is "Spermophilus tridecemlineatus (thirteen-lined ground squirrel) tRNA". It matches the Rfam family "tRNA". Rfam says of the family: Transfer RNA (tRNA) molecules are approximately 80 nucleotides in length. Their secondary structure includes four short double-helical elements and three loops (D, anti-codon, and T loops). Further hydrogen bonds mediate the characteristic L-shaped molecular structure. tRNAs have two regions of fundamental functional importance: the anti-codon, which is responsible for specific mRNA codon recognition, and the 3' end, to which the tRNAs corresponding amino acid is attached (by aminoacyl-tRNA synthetases). tRNAs cope with the degeneracy of the genetic code in two manners: having more than one tRNA (with a specific anti-codon) for a particular amino acid; and 'wobble' base-pairing, i.e. permitting non-standard base-pairing at the 3rd anti-codon position. The record is from Rfam by way of RNAcentral. Lineage: Eukaryota; Metazoa; Chordata; Mammalia; Rodentia; Sciuridae.
GGGGCUAUAGCUCAGUGGUAGAGCGCUUGUCUAGCAUGCAUGAGGCACUGGGUUUGAUCCUCAGCAGCACAU